Molecule: ribosomal RNA, 446 nt
Filed under: uncultured bacterium
Lineage: Bacteria
Description: partial 16S ribosomal RNA
Rfam family: Bacterial small subunit ribosomal RNA
Source: RNAcentral
CCUACGGGAGGCAGCAGUCGAGAAUCAUUCACAAUGGGGGAAACCCUGAUGGUGCGACGCCGCGUGGGGGAAUGAAGGUCUUCGGAUUGUAAACCCCUGUCAUGUGGGAGCAAAUUAAAAAGAUAGUACCACACGAGGAAGAGACGGCUAACUCUGUGCCAGCAGCCGCGGUAAUACAGAGGUCUCAAGCGUUGUUCGGAAUCACUGGGCGUAAAGCGUGCGUAGGCUGUUUCGUAAGUCGUGUGUGAAAGUCGCGGGCUCAACCCGCGGACGGCACAUGAUACUGCGAGACUAGAGUAAUGGAGGGGGAACCGGAAUUCUCGGUGUAGCAGUGAAAUGCGUAGAUAUCGAGAGGAACACUCGUGGCGAAGGCGGGUUCCUGGACAUUAACUGACGCUGAGGCACGAAGGCCAGGGGAGCGAAAGGGAUUAGAUACCCGGGUAGUC